This 416-nucleotide ribosomal RNA is filed under the name uncultured bacterium. RNAcentral describes it as "partial 16S ribosomal RNA". It matches the Rfam family "Bacterial small subunit ribosomal RNA", at positions 355 to 762 of the family's 1533-position model. The record is from RNAcentral.
UGGGGAAUUUUGGACAAUGGGGGAAACCCUGAUCCAGCCAUCCCCGCGUGUGCGAUGAAGGCCUUCGGGUUGUAAAGCACUUUUGGCAGGAAAGAACGUCGCGGGUUAAUACCCCGCGAAACUGACGGUACCUGCAGAAUAAGCACCGGCUAACUACGUGCCAGCAGCCGCGGUAAUACGUAGGGUGCAAGCGUUAAUCGGAAUUACUGGGCGUAAAGCGUGCGCAGGCGGUUCGGAAAGAAAGAUGUGAAAUCCCAGAGCUUAACUUUGGAACUGCAUUUUUAACUACCGGGCUAGAGUGUGUCAGAGGGAGGGUGGAAUUCCGCGUGUAGCAGUGAAAUGCGUAGAUAUGCGGAGGAACACCGAUGGCGAAGGCAGCCUCCUGGGAUAACACUGACGCUCAUGCACGAAAGCGU